This is a non-coding RNA of Mus caroli (Ryukyu mouse), 1786 nucleotides long. The record is from RefSeq and is a predicted model, not a curated record. NCBI's taxonomy places the organism in Eukaryota, Metazoa, Chordata, Mammalia, Rodentia, Muridae.
AUGCACCGGGCUCUAAUUUGCAUACCCCGUGUCACCGGAGCCAGCCCUGCCUGCAGUUUCCUGAACCCAGAACAACUGAUUCUAAGGCCCCACUCUAGCAACGGCCUUCACAAAUCUGCCAAAGUACUCAUCAGUGACAGCCUGGACCCCUGCUGCCGGAAGAUCCUGCAAGAUGGCGGGCUGCAGGUGGUGGAGAAGCAGAACUUGAGCAAGGAGGAGCUGAUAGCUGAACUCCAGGACUGUGAAGGCCUCAUUGUCCGGUCAGCUACUAAGGUCACUGCUGAUGUCAUCAAUGCAGCAGAGAAGCUCCAGGUGGUGGGCAGGGCUGGCACAGGUGUGGACAAUGUGGAUCUGGAGGCUGCCACGAGGAAGGGCAUCCUAGUCAUGAACAUCCCCAACGGGAACAGCCUCAGUGCUGCGGAACUCACCUGUGGGAUGAUCAUGUGCCCGGCCAGGCGGAUACCCCAAGCGACAGCUUCGAUGAAAGAUGGCAAAUGGGACCGGAAGAAGUUCAUAGGGACAGAACUAAACGGGAAGACACUGGGAAUUCUUGGCCUCGGUAGAAUCGGAAGAGAGGUGGCCAUCCGAAUGCAGUCCUUUGGAAUGAAGACUGUAGGCUAUGAUCCCAUCAUCUCUCCUGAAGUGGUGGCCUCCUUUGGUGUUCAGCAGCUGCCGCUGGAGGAGAUCUGGCCUCUCUUCAUAACUGUCCAUACCCGACUCCUGCCCUCCACCACAGGCUUGCUGAAUGACAGCACCUUUGCUCAGUGCAAGAAAGGCAUGCGAGUGGUGAACUGUGGUCGAGGAGGCAUUGUGGAUGAAGUUGCUCUGCUCUGAGCCCUGCAGUCUGGUCAGUGUGCUGGGGCUGCACUGGAUGUGUUUACAGAAGAGCCACCACAGGACCGGGCCUUAGUGGACCACAAGAAUGUCAUCAGUUGUCCCCACCUGGGUGCCAGCACCAAGGAAGCCCAGAGCCACUGUGGGGAGGAAAUAGCAGUCCAGUUUGUGGACAUGGUGAAGGGGAAAUCUCUGACAGGUGUCGUGAACGUCCAGUCCCUCAACAGUGCCUUCUCUCCACACCCCAAGCCUUGGAUUGGCCUGGCAGAAGCAUUAGGCACACUGAUGCACACCUGGGCUGGCUCCCCUAAAGGGACCAUCCAGGUGGUUACUACACAAGGGCAUCCUUCUGUGUCCCCAGGAACAUCUCUGAAGAAUGCUGGGACCUGCCUGAGCCCUGCAGUCAUUGUCGGCCUUCUGAGAAAAGCAUCUAAGCAGGCAGAUGUGAACUUGGUGAGCGCUAAGCUACUAGUGAAAGAGGCUGGCCUCAAUGUCACCACCUUCCACAACCCUGGGGUUCCAGGGAAGCAGGACAGCGGGGAAUGCCUUCUGACUGUGGCCCUGGCAGGUGCCCCCUACCAAGAUGUGGGCUUGGUCCAGGGCACCACACCAAUGCUGCAGAUGCUCAACGGAUCUGUCUUCAGACCAGAGGUGCCACUAUGCAGGGGCCAACCCCUGCUCAUAUUCCGGGCUCAGCCCUCCAACCCUGUGAUGCUGCCCACUAUUGAUCGGCCUCCUGGCAGAGGCGGGUGUACAGCUGCUGUCCUACCAAACCUCCAUGGUGUCUGACUGAGAGCUCUGGCAUGUCAUGGGCCUCUCCUCUCUGCUGCCCAUCCUGGAAACAUGGAAGCAGCAUGUAUUGGAGGCUUUCCAGUUCUGCUUCCGACCCUGGGGCUCAGCACUCUCAUACCCACAGGCUCUUCUGAAGAAACCUGCUCACUGUGACCUAUAG